AUGAACGCUGGCGGCGUGCCUCAUACAUGCAAGUCGCGCGAACGGACGAGAAGCUUGCUUUUCUGAUGUUAGCGGCGGACGGGUGAGUAACACGUGGAUAACCUACCUAUAAGACUGGGAUAACUUCGGGAAACCGGAGCUAAUACCGGAUAAUAUUUUGAACCGCAUGGUUCAUAAGUGAAAGACGGUCUUGCUGUCACUUAUAGAUGGAUCCGCGCUGCAUUAGCUAGUUGGUAAGGUAACGGCUUACCAAGGCAACGAUGCAUAGCCGACCUGAGAGGGUGAUCGGCCACACUGGAACUGAGACACGGUCCAGACUCCUACGGGAGGCAGCAGUAGGGAAUCUUCCGCAAUGGGCGAAAGCCUGACGGAGCAACGCCGCGUGAGUGAUGAAGGUCUUCGGAUCGUAAAACUCUGUUAUUAGGGAAGAACAUAUGUGUAAGUAACUGUGCACAUCUUGACGGUACCUAAUCAGAAAGCCACGGCUAACUACGUG
RNAcentral lists this ribosomal RNA (496 nucleotides) under uncultured bacterium. RNAcentral's name for it is "partial 16S ribosomal RNA". It matches the Rfam family "Bacterial small subunit ribosomal RNA", at positions 29 to 507 of the family's 1533-position model. The record is from RNAcentral.